This 513-nucleotide ribosomal RNA is filed under the name uncultured bacterium. RNAcentral's name for it is "partial 16S ribosomal RNA". It matches the Rfam family "Bacterial small subunit ribosomal RNA", at positions 28 to 523 of the family's 1533-position model. The record is from RNAcentral.
GACGAACGCUGGCGGCAUGCCUAAUACAUGCAAGUCGAGCGAACAGAUGAAGUGCUUGCACUUCUGACGUUAGCGGCGAACGGGCGAGUAACACGUAAGGAAUCUACCUAUAAGCGGGGGAUAACAUUCGGAAACGGGUGCUAAUACCGCAUAAUAUCUUCUUCCGCAUGGAAGAAGAUUGAAAGACGGCUCUGCUGUCACUUAUAGAUGACCUUGCGGUGCAUUAGUUAGUUGGUGGGGUAACGGCCUACCAAGACGAGGAUGCAUAGCCGACCUGAGAGGGUGAUCGGCCACAUUGGGACUGAGACACGGCCCAAACUCCUACGGGAGGCAGCAGUAGGGAAUCUUCCGCAAUGGGCGAAAGCCUGACGGAGCAAUGCCGCGUGAGUGAAGAAGGCCUUCGGGUCGCAAAACUCCGUUAUAAGAGAAGAACAAAUUGUAGAGUAACUGCUACAGUCUUGACGGUAUCUUAUCAGAAAGCCACGGCUAACUACGUGCCAGCAGCCGCGGUAA